This 459-nucleotide ribosomal RNA is filed under the name Streptomyces albidoflavus. RNAcentral's name for it is "bacterial SSU rRNA". It matches the Rfam family "Bacterial small subunit ribosomal RNA", at positions 52 to 527 of the family's 1533-position model. Lineage: Bacteria; Bacillati; Actinomycetota; Actinomycetes; Kitasatosporales; Streptomycetaceae. The record is from RNAcentral.
UACCAUGCAGUCGACGAUGAACCGCUUUCGGGCGGGGAUUAGUGGCGAACGGGUGAGUAACACGUGGGCAAUCUGCCCUGCACUCUGGGACAAGCCCUGGAAACGGGGUCUAAUACCGGAUAUGACUGUCCAUCGCAUGGUGGAUGGUGUAAAGCUCCGGCGGUGCAGGAUGAGCCCGCGGCCUAUCAGCUUGUUGGUGAGGUAGUGGCUCACCAAGGCGACGACGGGUAGCCGGCCUGAGAGGGCGACCGGCCACACUGGGACUGAGACACGGCCCAGACUCCUACGGGAGGCAGCAGUGGGGAAUAUUGCACAAUGGGCGAAAGCCUGAUGCAGCGACGCCGCGUGAGGGAUGACGGCCUUCGGGUUGUAAACCUCUUUCAGCAGGGAAGAAGCGAAAGUGACGGUACCUGCAGAAGAAGCGCCGGCUAACUACGUGCCAGCAGCCGCGGUAAUACA